UCUUACUGAAACAAUAUCCUGAUAUUAAUGGGGUUGUGCAUUCUUUUGUUGUUUCUCUCUAUAUAUGAUAUUCCUUCUCAAUCUUCUAUAUACUUAACCUUGCCACCAUUGCUUCUUUCAAAGUUGGGUUAUCCUACCACCUCGUUAACAAUGGGGAAUUCUUACUGUUUUGACUAUCUGUUUGUGCUAUGCACGGUUCAGGAUUUACCAAAAUCCAGCCCUUUUAAGGGCUGCUGGUGCAGCAUUCUGGACAUCAUGUCGUGCUAUCUCAAAGCUGUUGUGAGCUACACUGGCGACCUAAAAAGAGCCUGGGGCUUAAGUUUUAAUGCUCCAUUGCUGCCUUGGCAGCUUUCAAGUUUCGACAUUGCAAAAUUGUGCCACAUACUGCUUUCCUUUUGCUCAUGACUGUUAAUUCAUUGGAUGUUCUUUGUUGCUCUGCAUAAUUUUCUAGUGUUCUUCAUUUUCAUGGCUGAUUGUUAUUAUCGCCAUGUAAUGUAUAGAGUGGGCUUUCAUUUGGCCAAGAGCCAGCAAUGGCUGGAUACAUGUAUAGGUUUUGCUGUUGUGAGGCGUGUACUAUCACCAACUUAUCAUUACUAAUGUAAAUUUGUUAUGGAAACAACUGUGCAUAUUUUGUAAAUGUAUGUUCUUCUUCUUCUUCUUCUUUCAUCCUCUAUGAUCCAAAUUAUUUUGGUAAAUUUCUCAGCGUUAGAAAUAUUUUCUAUUCUACUGCCUACAGGUUUCUUAUCGAACUUGUUGGAUGCUCAACUUACCCUUCUUCCGCCAUCGGCCGUUGUCCUUCAGAUUGAAGUUUCUGAGUUUAGUUCUCAAUGGCCGCUUUAAUUUCAAUGUUGUUUCUCAGUUGCCUUUGAACUAUACAGUAUUUCUUUAACAAGUCGUGCUCUAUCAACUUUGUUUCUUAUUCGUCACUCCGUCUUGUUUGAAAAUUAAAGAUAUAAUGGUGUGAAAAGUAAAAUUGUUAAUUUUUCAAAUGAUUUGAAAUAAUAGAUGGGAAAAAUGUUAAAAGUAUAGAAACUUUUAGGAAUUAUCUUCCAAAGAACAGUGACUAUUUAAAAAAAAAAAAAAAAUUUACUGAAGAUUAGUGACCAUUAAGAAAAGGGAAAAAAAAUAUUCUUGAAACACAACAUUGAAAGUGCAGUGGUAAUUGUGGUCUUUUCAUUUGAAGUUUCACAAGCGCAACCUGUAUAUAAUUGACUUAAAUAAUGUACAAGUAAAAAAGUAUAAUUGAAUAAAGAAUAUUUUAAUAACAUCAAUAACAUAAAUGGAAGAAAAAUAAGAAACAUUGUUAGUCAAAAAAUUAUAAGUGAGUUUUAAAUUGAUCACUCAUAUUAUCCUAAUUUAGUAUCGAAAGUUAAAUAGCAGUUUUCUUUAAUCAAUUAGCGUGCGUCUAGUUUGUUAUUUUUAAGCUAUUUUCAAUUUUACAAAAUACCGAAAACUUAUAAUAUAAAAUUCAAAACGUAUUUUUGACAUUAUAAGUAUUUUCAAUAAAAACACUAUAAACAUUCAAAAUAUGAGAAACAAGCGUUUAAAAAUAAAAUUCUAAAAAAUAAAAUAUUUUAAAAAUAAAUUUUUAAUUUUUUAAAAAAUGAUUAAUUCUAGAAAAUAGAAAAAUAAAAAUUUUGAAAAAAAUUAAAAAUUCUAAAAAUUAAACCGUUUGGUUUGUAUUUCAAUUUUCAAGUUCAUUUUAAGUGUGUGUGUUUUUAUUUUUAUUUUUUAUUUAAGUCUAUUUUAGGAUUGUUAAAAAUAUGUUUGACUUGUCAUUUUGAAAAAAUUAUUUUUUAAAACAAAAAAGUAAAACAUGUUUGUUUUGAACUUUUGAAAAUUGUUUUAUGACAUUUUAUUUCAUGAAUUUGACUAUUCAACAAAAAUAGAACAAUUUUAUGUUGGUGCUAAAGCUUGACGUACUAUUUGUUAGUCAUUUUGGUUGUAUUGACUUGCAUCAAUUAUCAAGUAAUCUAUACAUUUUUUUGUUAGUGAAUUUUACAUUUAUUUUCUCUCGCUACAAAUGUAUAAUAUAACAAAUCAUAAACUGAGUUUGAAAAAUAGAAAAUAAAAAUAAAAAUUAACGACUUGGAUUGAGAAUAUUUUUAUAUGUGUUCAUUUAAAUUUUUUAAAAUUUUUUUUACAUAAAUAAUUAUUAAAAGCUUGAACUAUUUUUAUAUUUCUCGAAAUUUUAAUUUUUUAGAAUUUUAAAAUUUUAUUUAGAAUUUAUUUUUCUUGAAUUUUAUUUUUUAAAAAUUUUAAAAUAUAUUUGUUAGAUGUAUAUAUAUUUAUUUAUUUAGAGUGUUUUUAGAAUUUUUUUUCUAAAAACAGUCAAAACGUCAAAAAUACAUUUUGAGCUUUACACUACAUGUUUAACCUUAUUUUCGAAAAUCUAUUUUCGAAAAUGUAUUUUUGAAAAUAUCAGAUCAAAGAAAUUUUCAGUAUUUUACAAAAUUGAAAGCAGAAAAUAGUUUGAACUUUUAAUAAUUAUUUACAUAAAAAUUGUAAAAAAAAAAUGUAAAUGAACACAUUAAAAUAUUCAUAGUCAACGUCAUUACCUUUUUCUAUUUUCCUUCCUAUGAUUUGAACUCAAUUUUAUUAUUUGUUUUUAUUUUAUUUUUGCAGUAAAAAAAUAGUGUAAGAUCUACCAACUUUAGAAUGUAUUUAUUAAUUUAUAAUUUAUUAGUAUAAAAUUAUUCUAUUUUUACUGAAUAAUCAAAUUUCAUGAAAUAAAAUAUCAUGAAACAAUUUUUCAAAAUUUCAAAGCUUNCACCAACUUAUCAUUACUAAUGUAAAUUCGUUAUGGAAACAACUGUGCAUAUUUUGUAAAUGUAUGUUCUUCUUCUUCUUCUUUCAUCCUCUAUGAUCCAAAUUAUUUUGGUAAAUUUCUCAGGGUUAGAAAUAUUUUCUAUUCUACUGCCUACAGGUUUCUUAUCGAACUUGUUGGAUGCUCAACUUACCCUUCUUCCGCCAUCGGCCGUUGUCCUCCGGAUUGAAGUUUCUGAGUUUAGUUCUCAAUGGCCGCUUUAAUUUCAAUGUUGUUUCUCAGUUGUCUUUGAACUAUAAAGUAUUUUUUUACCGAGUCGUGCUCUAUCAACUUUGUUUCUUAUUCGUCACUCAGUCUUGUCUGAAAAUUAAAGAUAUGAUUGUGUAAAAAGUAAAAUUGUUAAUUUUUCAAAUGAUUUGAAAUAAUAGAUGGGAAAAAUGUUGAAAGUAUAGAAACUUUUAGGAACUUCCAAAGAACAGUGACUAUUUAAAAAAAAAAGAAAAAAGUUUACUGAAGAUUAGUGAUCAUUAAGAAAAGAGAAAUAUUCUUGAAACACAACGUUGAAAGUGCAGUAGUAAUUGUGGUCUUUUCAUUUGAAGUUUCACAAGCGCAACCUGUAUAUAAUUGACUAAAAUAAUGUUCAAGUAAAAAAGUAUAAUUGAAUGAAGAAUAUUUUAAUAACAUUAAUAACAUAAAUGGAAGAAAAAUAAAAAACAUUGUUAGUCAAAAAAUUGUAAGUGAGUUUUAAAUUGAUCCCUCAUAUUAUCCUAAUUUAGUAUCGAAAGUUAAAUAUCAUUUUUCUUUAAUCAAUUAGAGUGCGUCUAGUUUGUUAUUUUUAAGCUAUUUUCAAUUUUACAAAAUACCGAAAGCUUAUAAUAUAAAAUUCAAAACGUAUUUUUGACAUUAUAAGUAUUUUCAAUAAAAACACUAUAAACAUUCAAAAUAUGAGAAACAAGCGUUUAAAAAUAAAAUUCUAAAAAAUAAAAUAUUUUAAAAAUAAAUUUUUAAUUUUUUUAAAAAAUGAUUAAUUCUAGAAAAUAGAAAAAUAAAAAUUUUGAAAAAAAUUAAAAAUUCUAAAAAUUAAACCGUUUGGUUUGUAUUUCAAUUUUCAAGUUCAUUUUAAGUGUUUUUUUUUUAUUUUUUAUUUAAGCCUGUUUUAGGAUUGUUAAAAAUAUGUUUGACUUGUCAUUUUGAAAAAUUAUUUUUCAAAACAAAAAUGUAAAACAUGUUUGUUUUGAACUUUUGAAAAUUUGUUUUAUGACAUUUUAUUUCAUGAAUUUGACUAUUCAACAAAAAUAGAACAAUUUUAUGUUGGUGCUAAAACUUGACACAAUAUUUGUUAGUCAUUCUGGUUGUAUCGACUUGCAUCAAUUAUCAAGUAAUAUAUACAUUUUUUUGUUAGUGAAUUUUACAUUUAUUUUCUCUCGCUACAAAUGUAUAAUAUAACAAAUCAUAAACUGAGUUUGAAAAAUAGAAAAUUAAAAUUAAAAUUAACGACUUGGUUUGAGAAUAUUUUUAUGUGUUCAUUUAAAUUUUUCUAAAAUUUUUUUUACAUAAAUAAUUAUUAAAAGCUUGAACUAUUUUUAUAUUUCUUGAAAUUUUAAUUUUUUAGAAAUUUUAAAUUUUAUUUAGAAUUUAUUUUUCUUGAAUUUUAUUUUUUUAAAAUUUUAAAAUAUAUUUGUUAGAUGUAUAUAUAUUUAUUUAUUUAGAGUGUUUUUAGAAUUUUUUUCUAAAAAUAGCAAAACACCAAAAAUACAUUUUGAGUUUUACACUACAUGUUUAACCUUAUUUUCGAAAAUAUCAUAUCAAAGAAAUUUUCAGUAUUUUACAAAAUUGAAAGCAGAAAAUAGUUUGAAAACAUUUUUUUAAAAAAAUUUCUAGGAAAAAAAUUAAAAUAAAAAUCGUUUAAACUUUUAAUAAUUAUUUACAUAAAAAUUGUAAAAAAAAAAUGUAAAUGAACACAUUAAAAUAUUCAUAGUCAACGUCAUUACUUUUUCUAUUUUCCUUCCUAUGAUUUGAACUCAAUUUUAUUAUUUGUUUUUAUUUUAUUUUUGCAGUAAAAAAAUAUUGUAAGAUCUACCAACUUUAGAAUGUAUUUAUUACUUUAUAAUUUAUUAAUAUAAAAUUAUUCUAUUUUUACUGAAUAAUCAAAUUUCAUGAAAUAAAAUAUCAUGAAACAAUUUUUCAAAAUUUCAAAGCUUUUUAGUGCUGAACUUAAGAUAAUUUUGAAAUGGCAAAUAAUUGAGAAAUAUAUAUCUAUGUACAUACAUAAAACAAGCUAACAUUAGCCACUAUUCGUAUUGGACACUAUUCAUCACCUCCCAUUGUCAACCUCCACUUUUUUCUUUUUCUUAUUUAUUUAUUUGUUUAUAUUUUUCGCUCUAUUCACACAAUCAUCACCUUCACUCCAAGUUCAUUCAUGCACUGCUGUUGUCACGCUUCAACUAGCUACGUAUUGUUCAUAAACAGUUUAUUUACUGUUCAUUAGUAAGUGCUCUAUAAAUGCAGCCCUAAUCCUUUCCCUUUCCCUCAAACGCAUUUGCAGUCAUCGAUUUAGUACUGCAAUUCGGGUUGAGUACACAACCGCUCCGAGCAAUUUCUCUCCAAAACCAGAGGCAUAGCGUCUUCAAACGUUCUUCACUCUUCGAAGAAGUAUAAAAUAGAAAAGGUACUAAAUAGUUAAUAACAAUAAUCUGCUUCUUCUUUGUGUACACGCUCAUAAUUUUAUGUUAUAAAUUACAAAGAAUAAAUUUGUGCAAGUGUUUCUCUUGGAACCAACUUGCUUGCUGAUUUUAUUUGUGUAGAUAACUGUUGUUGCGAGGGACAUGGUGAAGAAGAAUAGAUCUUCUAAAAGAAAGCUAGAGAUGGAGAUGUAGCCAUAAGUGAAGGAUUUACUUCUGAGAUUAUAUCUGAUAAAAGUAAGUACUUAUGAAACAUUAUCUAUUGUCUAUUCUAAAGUGAUGGAAAUUUUCUAAUUCAAAGUACGGGGAAAUAUAUGAUUUUUAGUGGUAUGUUUUGUACUCGAAACAAAACGAGCAAGGUAAAAUGUCCUUACAUACUAAGGCCCUGUUUGAGCCCCAUUUUGGAGAAAAAUAGGCUUUGAACAAAAUGUGUGAUUGAAGAAUAGAAAAAAAAAUUGAGUUUACGUGUAAAAUUAUUGGUUUCAAAUGAGCUUUUAAAAAAAAUUGAGCUCAAAUGUAAAAUAUAGUUCAUGUGAGAGCUAUAGAUUGAAUGGAUUGCGGACAUUGAAAUAUUGGAUGGAAAUACAAUUCAGUUACCUCUGCACAUGAAUCAGAUUUGUGCAGACUGAUAUUUCUGUUGGAAAAAAAAAAAUUGAGUUAUGGGCUGACUUUAGCACGAGUUUUGAGUGGAAUCCGGUUGUUCAAUUUGGAAGAUCAAAGUUGAUUUAUGUUCUCCUCUGUGAGUACAUCGAAAUCAUAUACUUACUUGUCAAAGAUGAUGCUCGGGUGAAUGAGAAAUUGAGACUCAAAGUGUGCCACUCAAAAGGGAGUUUAUGUGGGAAAAAUGAAUUUGUCCCACAUAGGAAAAAGAUGAGAAACUCCAAAGGUCAUUGCCAUUAAUGGUAGCUUAGCCUAUAAAUAGUGGCUCAUUUUCCUCAUUUCAAUACACCAAAGCAAAAGUUUUCAAGUUUAGAAUACACAAAAAAUUCAUUUGCAUAGAGUUCUGUCUUUUCUGCAUUUCUGUCUUGGUGGUGGUGUAGUUCAGGCACUAGUUCAGUUUGCCGGAGUGGUUUCUGCGAUGCUCGGAAGCUACUGGUUUUACCGUUGUAUCCUAAGAAACGGACGUUCGUUUUAAACCUCAAGCACGGACGGUGAGGGGACGAAUCUGUUUUAAGAAAACUGUGUGUAACACAGGCCUCGGUUUGAAAUUUCAUUCCCUACAAUUUCAAUUAUUCGUUCUGUUAUUUAUUGCAAUAAAUUCAAUAGUUGAUUUGUUGUUCAUUCUGUUAUUAUCCAAUUAGUUGUGCGACUGUAACUUGCUGUUAUAUAUCAUUUUACCAGACAAAAGACAUAUACGGUAUUGAAAUCGAGAAUAUCGGAUUCCUCAUUUUUCAUAAACUUACCGAAUUUCAGAAAAGCUUGGUUGACCGAACUGGUGAAACUUGAGAUUUUCCCUACAAGCUUAAAACAGAUUUUCAGAAAGGAAAAAUUGGUUUCUUAUAUUGAUUAUUUCUGAACUGAUUAGUUUCUUAUAUUUGUUAUAUUGUGGAAACUAAUUUGUUGUUUGGUUCUUUCAGAAGACAAAAUGGCAACUGGUUCCACCAACAUGGAUUCCAACAUGGAUGUGUCCCAAGCUGUAGGUACCCAAACUCAGGCUGUGGGUUCUACUAUGGGUGCAGGGCCUAGUUCGGUUAUGGGUGUAGCUAUGGCUGCAGGGCCUAGCUCUGUUAUGGCUCAAACUGUGGCUCCGAUUCUAGAUGGAAGGUUGAGAUGUUAAUUUUUUAUGCUUGGAAAUGUUCAGCAAGCCCUUUGGGGAGUUAUACUUUGGCUUUUAUUUUCUGUAAACCUUGGCAAUGCUUUCAACAGCACAUGGUAUUUUUUUUUCAUUAUCCUUGGUUUGAGCAUGACUCCUAGUUUCACAUUCUGGAGUUCAAACUUGAAAGUCAGUUGGGAAGUGCUCGGCUUGUGUUUAGUCAUAAGGGAAGAUUAAUCGACAUAUCGCAUUUAAUCGUUCUUAACUGCUUUUGUAGAGGCUAAAAAAUAAUGAGAACGAAUAAGGAAUGCUAAAAUUGAAUAUGUGAAUGACUCUUUCUCAUUCUAUAUGAUUGGUGAGUAGCUCUUACUGAAACAAUAUCCUGAUAUUAAUGGGGUUGUGCAUUCUUUUUGUUGUUUCUCUCUAUAUAUGAUAUUCCUUCUCAAUCUUCUACAUACUUAACCUUGCCACCAUUGCUUCUUUCAAAGUUGGGUUAUUCUACCACCUCGUUAACAAUGGGGAAUUCUUACUGUUUUGACUAUCUGUUUGUGCUAUGCACGGUUCAGGAUUUACCAAAAUCCAGCCCUUUUAAGGGCUGCUGGUGCAGCAUUCUGGACAUCAUGUCGUGCUAUCUCAAAGCUGUUGUGAGCUACACUGGCGAC
This 7863-nucleotide long non-coding RNA is filed under the name Olea europaea (common olive). RNAcentral's name for it is "long non-coding RNA (OEUR_LNC001566)". The record is from RNAcentral. Lineage: Eukaryota; Viridiplantae; Streptophyta; Magnoliopsida; Lamiales; Oleaceae.